CGCACCUUGCGCUCCUUGGUAUUCCGAGGAGCAUGCCUGUUUGAGUGUCAUUAAAUUCUCAACCUCUCUAGUUUUUUGACUAGUAGAUGGCUUGGAUGUGGGGGUUUUUUGCCGGCUUUCACAAGUCAGCUCCCCUUAAAUGUAUUAGCCGGUGCCCUCUAACCGUCUAUUGGUGUGAUAAUUAUCUACGCCGUGGACUAUUAGAUUUGGUGUGCUGCUUAUAACCGUCUUGUACUAGACAAUCUAUGACAUUUUGACCUCAAAUCAGGUAGGACUACCCGCUGAACUUAA
Molecule: unclassified non-coding RNA, 291 nt
Filed under: Deconica citrispora
Lineage: Eukaryota; Fungi; Basidiomycota; Agaricomycetes; Agaricales; Kuehneromycetaceae
Description: partial contains 5.8S ribosomal RNA, internal transcribed spacer 2, and large subunit ribosomal RNA
Source: RNAcentral